GAGAAAUGGCAGAGCGGUCGAAUGCACCGGUCUUGAAAACCGGCGUACCGAGAGGUACCGGGGGUUCGAAUCCCUCUUUCUCC
RNAcentral lists this transfer RNA (83 nucleotides) under marine eukaryotic metagenome. It matches the Rfam family "tRNA". From Rfam's summary of the family: Transfer RNA (tRNA) molecules are approximately 80 nucleotides in length. Their secondary structure includes four short double-helical elements and three loops (D, anti-codon, and T loops). Further hydrogen bonds mediate the characteristic L-shaped molecular structure. tRNAs have two regions of fundamental functional importance: the anti-codon, which is responsible for specific mRNA codon recognition, and the 3' end, to which the tRNAs corresponding amino acid is attached (by aminoacyl-tRNA synthetases). tRNAs cope with the degeneracy of the genetic code in two manners: having more than one tRNA (with a specific anti-codon) for a particular amino acid; and 'wobble' base-pairing, i.e. permitting non-standard base-pairing at the 3rd anti-codon position. The record is from RNAcentral.